GACGAACGCUGGCGGCGUGCUUAACACAUGCAAGUCGAACGGAAAGGCCCCCACUUUUUUGGUGGGGGUGCUCGAGUGGCGAACGGGUGAGUAACACGUGGGUGAUCUGCCCUGUACUUCGGGAUAAGCUUGGGAAACUGGGUCUAAUACCGGAUAGGACCAUGGUUUAGUGUCUCAUGGUGGAAAAAUUAUUGUUUUGGUGCAGGAUGAGCUCGCGGCCUAUCAGCUUGUUGGUGGGGUAAUGGCCUACCAAGGCGUCGACGGGUAGCCGGCCUGAGAGGGUGGACGGCCACAUUGGGACUGAGAUACGGCCCAGACUCCUACGGGAGGCAGCAGUGGGGAAUAUUGCACAAUGGGCGCAAGCCUGAUGCAGCGACGCCGCGUGGGGGAUGACGGCCUUCGGGUUGUAAACUCCUUUCGUUAGGGACGAAGCCGCACCUUUUUUGGGUGGGGACGGUA
Molecule: ribosomal RNA, 459 nt
Filed under: Corynebacterium matruchotii
Lineage: Bacteria; Bacillati; Actinomycetota; Actinomycetes; Mycobacteriales; Corynebacteriaceae
Description: bacterial SSU rRNA
Rfam family: Bacterial small subunit ribosomal RNA
Source: RNAcentral